Molecule: long non-coding RNA, 3358 nt
Organism: Andrographis paniculata
Lineage: Eukaryota; Viridiplantae; Streptophyta; Magnoliopsida; Lamiales; Acanthaceae
Exons: 3
Source: RefSeq, a predicted model, not a curated record
GUUUGGGCCGAUAACAGCGUAACCUGAAAAAUCCGUAAACAUGACCAACGAGGGAAUAUUUGGUCGUGUGUAAGAACAGCUGAGUCUAGGGUUUCUCCGGUUCGUCGCCUCCUCCCAUGGCCAAGAGAACCAACAAGAAUGUGUUGGUAUUGUUGGGAGUAUGCCUGCAGCGCUUAUGAAUUUGAUUGAAAUUAGGGCGUGGCAGUGAUGAUAGAUGUUAAUCCCAGCUCAUUUUGAGGCCUUUCCUGUGUGAGGUCAGGGAAAUUUACAUUUUUUUCUCACGUACAUCGUCUGAUCUUCACCCUACUUCUUUUCUGAUUUUAUUUUGGAUUUGAGUUAUUUUUAUGUUUUUUGUUCUUCUUUGGUUUAUUUUGGAAGUGUUCCUUGUGAUGGUUGAUUCGAAAAAAUCAUGCUAAUUCUGAUUGUUUUGUGAUUAAGAUUUAAUUCACUUCUACCGAAGGAACACUGAUGAUUUUUCUUUUCUUGUUUUUUUUUGUUUUUCCCUAUACAUAUAAUACUCUUCUUUAUUUUGAUAUCAAUUUAUCUGUUGCAGUUUUGAUUUAUUUUAAAAAAAUUUCUUCAGAUAGGAAUUUGACUAUUGUAGUUUUUUUGGUUGUGUUUGUUUUAGGAUUUUUAGGAAAUUUUACUAUUCAAUAAAAUUUUUCUUGAAAAUUAAAAUCAAAAUUCUAUAUUUAUUUUAAUAUUAUACUAUUAAUUCAUUUUAUUUUUCAAAACAAUAUACUCCUACCAUUUCAUAAUAGUUGACAUUUUUUAUUUUAGUAUAUUUCAUAAUAGUUGACAAGAUUAUAUUUUUAGUAAAUUAUCAAUUUUAAAUAUAUUUAAUAUAUAUAAAAAUUAAUUUAAUUAAAUUUCUAACCUCUCAAAUAUGUAGAAUCUACUGAAAAUUAAUUUAUUUUUAUCUUUAUCUUCAAUAAAUAAAUAUUUUUAUUCAUAUUUAAAUUUUUUCAUUUUCUUAGAAAAUUAGUUUAUACUCCCUCUGUCCCACGACACGGUAUUUAAGACGAGAAUGUUUAAUUAGUUAAUAAUAAUUAAUUAUGAUAUUAUUAUAUUUUUUUAUAAUUAAUAAUAUUUAUAAUUUUAAAGUAAAUUUAAUAUAUAUGAUUAAAAAAAAUUAAAAUAUAUGUUUAAAUAUUUAAAAAUUAUAUAGCAAUAUGAAUAUAAUUUUGUAGAGAAUAAAAUUUUCUAUAAUAUAAGUAAAUAAAAAAAUAUUUUUGUUUAUUUAUAAUUAACAUAAAUCAAUUUUAUAAAAGAUGUAUAGUUUUAAAUAUAGAUAAAAAUAUUUAUUUUUUUGAGGAGAGAUGUAGAAAUAAAGGGGUUUUAAGUGGGUCUUACGUCAUUUAUGAUGUUGUAUAUUAUGUAGUUAAUUAAGUUGAUUUAUAUUUGUUAAAUAUAUUUUGAAUUAAUAAUUUUUACCAAAAAUAGAAAUUUGUCAAUUGUUAUGGGACAGACAAAAAUGGAAAUAGUAUCAAAUGUGGUGGGACGGAGGGAGUAUUAAUAAACAAAUAAAUAUAUUUUUUAUUUAAUUGUAACAUAUAUUGUUUUAUUCUCCGUGAAAAGGUAUCCAUAUUAUAUACUCUUUCCGUCCAAAAAAAAUAUUUUGUUGGAAGUGGGCACGAGAAUUAAAGAAUAAUAUUAUUUAAUUGAAAAUAAUAUAAAGUAGAAGUUAAAAAACUAAAAUACGGAAUGAUUUUAAAAGUAGGUUGCAGUAGUAAUUAGAGGUAGUUUGAAAAAGUGGAAUAAUUUUGUUAUAAAAUGGAGACCACUGUUACUAAAUAAAAAAAAUAUUUUUGAAAAAAAAAAGUAAGAAACAAGAUAAUUGUUUUGGGACAAACAAAAAUAGAAAAACAAGACAACACUAUUAAGACCGAAAGAGUAUAUUUUAUUAGAUAUAAUAUUUAAAAUAUUUAAACUCAUUUCAAAUUUCUUUUAAUUAUAUAUAUUGAUUUUUAUUUUUAAAAUAUCAACAUCACUUUCAUAAUAAAUAAUAAAAUAAUAUCAUAACAUACUAUAAUUUAUAUAUUAAACUCAUUUUUUUAAAUACUUAUUGUUUUGUGAUAAAAAAUUAACCCACUUGUUUUUUCUUAAGGAACAUCACUAUUUUUUUUUUUUUUUUUUCUGCUCUCUUCGUAUACAUAUAAUAUCCUUUAUUUUUAUAUCAAUUUAUCUCUUGCAGUUCCCAUUUAUUUUAUUAGUUUAGAUAAAAUAAAAAAUCUUGUUUAAAUAGAAAUUUGACAGUAUUUGGCUGUGUUUGUUUUAGUAUUUCUAGGGGAUUUUACUAUUCAAUUAAAAUUUUUUCGAAAAAAAUAUAAAUUUUAUUUUUAAUAUUAUACUAAUAAUUUAUUUUCUAUUCAAAAGAUUAUAUAUAAUAUCUAUUUCUAGCCAACCCAAAGUAUGUAGAUAAGUUUAACCGAAAGUAUGGUCCAGAGAGGUAUGAAGAUUUUAAUAGUCUCCAGUCCACCGUAAGACACAUAAUUAUAUGGGAUUGAAAGUCAUGGCUCUUGCUGUUCUUGGGAAAGAGCUCAAGAAGCCUUUGGAGGGGAUAGUUUUUGAGUAAUUGGGAUGCCCUAAAUUAUAUAACAGAUAGAGUAUGCUAUGCUGCUUUUGAUGUAUUUUUAUGUUCUAUCCGGCCUAUAUACUAUACAACCUAAAAUCUUGCAAGAUGCAGGGAGGUAAUUUUUGUAGGUUUUGAAGUUGACCGAUGAUAAAGUGUAAGGUAUGAAUGCUAUGAUCUAAUAAUUUAAGUUUUAUGCUUUUCUGCUUAAAAAGUAUGUGCUAUUGAGGGGUCGUUCUUGUUGGGUUUCGGCUCCCAACCAUGUGAAUUAAAGGCCCAAAUUUAAAAGGUAAUUAGUUUUAAUUGGAUGACUUAAUUACCCCCGAAAAUAAUAAUCAGCAACAGCAGCUGCGGACAGUGAUAUAUCCGAAAAGAAAAACAGAACAGUCCCGAGUUGUUCUUCUCCCUGCGAAGUUUUGGAGACUGGAUCAAUCGGCAUAGGAAACGUUGUCUGAUCGGCUUGAAAUUUUUACUGAAGUUAGGGGACAUCUAUAUCUUCAUUUUGUUCGGUGGAGAUCUUUUUUCAACGGUCCGAUUUUCAGAUAAAAAUUCGGCAAUGAACCAGAUUUUUGGCUCUGUUUUUGUUCGGUUUUUUCGUUGUUUGUGAGAUCAAGAUUUCGGUGACUCCCUGUUAUUUAGGCCAUAUCUCGGGUUGUGAUUUUGGAUCUGAUUUUUGUGAUAGUGGAAUUUUUGGGUGGGCUUAAGAGCCUCGUGGUUUUUCCUCUUUGCAUUGGAGAGGUUUUCCACGUAAAUCGGCUUAUUAAUGCUCCUGCGAUAUUUUAACAA